CGUGGAAGAAAUGUGUCCUGCCAAGAUUGAAGGAAACACUGAAUAAUUGGAUAUACAAUUCCUACUACCCUAAAACAAAAUAAUCCAUCCCAUUUUUCUUCUUGGGAAAAAUUUACAUCAACCUGUUCUAUGAACUCAAGAUAUGAACACGAUGAGUCUCACUUGUUUAUCCCGAUUUCAAUUGGAAUUACAAUCCAAAUUCGAGGACUCUAAUGCCACAGGAUAUUAUAACUUAUUGGAAUAAUCAUUUUUUUACGAAGGGAACCCUAGGUCAAUUCAUAUCAAAUUAAACAAAUCAGAACAAAUCUUGUCGUGAUCGCAGAUCAAAAGACAAAGGAAACCCUAAUCCACGUACAGGAAAUUAGACAGAAACCCAAUAGACAAAAACCAACAAAAGCACAACAAAGAGCAAAAAUAAAGCAAACCCAGAGAUGAAAAAUGAGAAAAUAGAAAAGGGACCUACAGAAACGUAGGAGCAGGUGGG
Molecule: unclassified non-coding RNA, 484 nt
Filed under: Hevea brasiliensis (rubber tree)
Lineage: Eukaryota; Viridiplantae; Streptophyta; Magnoliopsida; Malpighiales; Euphorbiaceae
Source: RNAcentral